This 21-nucleotide microRNA is filed under the name Dasypus novemcinctus (nine-banded armadillo). RNAcentral's name for it is "dno-miR-1343-5p". The record is from miRBase by way of RNAcentral. Lineage: Eukaryota; Metazoa; Chordata; Mammalia; Cingulata; Dasypodidae.
UGGGGAGCGGCCCCCGGGGUG